GAUAGUGCCAGGAAAGCCAUAGCUCAGCUACAGCUGAAACUGGUAACAGACUGCAGUGGUGCGGGAUCCCCCCUCCCCAGGCCACUCUGUGAUCUCAAGGUAAACUAAUGUUACGUUCUUGGCAUUGUUACAAGUGCAGUGAGUCGGGAUAGUUAGGCACUCCCUAACUGUACCUGGAACUCCUGCUACCUGGAUACCAGAACCAUACAAUCUGGAAGGUACUAGAUAGUACGGUUGGUUGGCAACACAAGAAUUACCCAACCUGAAUUGUGGCCAGGAUGGAAAAACACUGACUAUAGCCAACCAUCUCACAGUCCUAUAAAUACCGGUCCUAAGCAAAGAGCCCUUUUGAGCUCUCCAGAACCAGAGCGGGCUAUGACCUAGGAUCUCCCCCUGAGGUGGGACACCUCUCAGGGCAAGACUCCUUGAGGUUCAGUGAUCGUCCGCUGAAUACACCAACGCGGAGGAGGCAAGGAGUAGCAGUACACAGCAAUUUCAACACUAUUUAAACCUCAGUGAAACUUUGAGGAGCUAGCUAAAAUGGAAUUAAAAUACCUGCUACAAACCUCACCUCCUUAACAGAUUUGGCAUUCUGAGCCAGAUGCACUCCUAAGGAAGGUAGAGUGGAUACUGACUUGAAGUCCCCUUCCCUGAGACCUAGCGUCCUCUUUCCAAGGAGAAAAGACAGCAGUUGCUGUGGAAGACAUGAUCAAGACACUUAAAACCAGCAGUGUUGGCAGGCUUCACUUGUUCAGCAGCUAGCAUAAUCGAGGUACACACGACUAAACUGUGAAGAAGUUUAAAGAUGACAAGAAGUUCCCUUGUAUGUUUUGGAAAGGGAAUGGUCAGCAGCAAGACCUGAAGAGGAAGAAGACCUAGUCAUACGAGCAAGCCAGAAAUUACUUCAGCCCAAACGUAUUGAAUGGUUUUAGAUUUGCGUUUUAUGCACUGAAGACAAGACAAAAAUACACAUUUUUUGACAGGCAGAUUGCUGGGGAGUUGGGCAGAAGUCAAGAACUGAAAAUGGAUAGUCAGCAACCCUCUCUACCGGCUGGCAGUGACUCUGGAAUUCCAUUUCCUCAGUGUAACAGGGUAAUGCUUUCCUACCUCAACAAACACUGGGACAUGCAAUGGUUAAGCAGCCUCAAAGUUAAGCUGAAGGAUUUUGUUCAGAGUGUUUAUCCAUUCUUCCAUCUCAAUUUCACUGUCUGCAGCUAAAAG
Cygnus olor (mute swan) is the source of this 1221-nucleotide long non-coding RNA. RefSeq lists it as uncharacterized. The record is from RefSeq and is a predicted model, not a curated record. NCBI's taxonomy places the organism in Eukaryota, Metazoa, Chordata, Aves, Anseriformes, Anatidae. The transcript is spliced from 5 exons.